RNAcentral lists this small RNA (87 nucleotides) under Salix viminalis (osier). The record is from RNAcentral. Lineage: Eukaryota; Viridiplantae; Streptophyta; Magnoliopsida; Malpighiales; Salicaceae.
GGAUCAUGAUGGAGGUUAUCAGCCUUUGGAUGAAUUAACAAAAAGGAUGAAAAUUGACGUACCAGAUUUUUCUGGAAAAUUAGACCC